AAGCAAACCUGUUCUAUCGCUCCGGCUGAUGCCGGGGAGGAAAGUCUGGACAACGCAGAGCGCCCCGCUUCCUAACGGGAAGGGCUUCGGCAAUUGCCGGAGUACGGAAAGUGCCACAGAAAACAAACCGUCCCGAAUGCUUUCGGGAUAAGGGUGAAAACGCGGGGUAAGAGCCCACGGCUUUGCAUGGCGACAUGCAUCGCGGUAAACCCCGGGGGUUGAAAGGCCAAAUAGGUUGCGGAAAUUAAGGGAGUUGCUCGUUUCCAUCCCGCAAGGGAGCCGCAACGGGUAGGCCGCUGGAGCUUGUCAGUGAUGGCAAGCCAAGAUAAAUGAUAGAAAUCCUGAUUGGGAUACAGAAUCCGGCUUAUAGGGUUUGCU
This 378-nucleotide RNase P RNA is filed under the name Parapedobacter koreensis. RNAcentral describes it as "Bacterial RNase P class A". It matches the Rfam family "Bacterial RNase P class A". From Rfam's summary of the family: Ribonuclease P (RNase P) is a ubiquitous endoribonuclease, found in archaea, bacteria and eukarya as well as chloroplasts and mitochondria. Its best characterised activity is the generation of mature 5'-ends of tRNAs by cleaving the 5'-leader elements of precursor-tRNAs. The record is from RNAcentral. Lineage: Bacteria; Pseudomonadati; Bacteroidota; Sphingobacteriia; Sphingobacteriales; Sphingobacteriaceae.